Molecule: ribosomal RNA, 340 nt
Filed under: uncultured Candidatus Nitrosopumilus sp.
Lineage: Archaea; Thermoproteati; Nitrososphaerota; Nitrososphaeria; Nitrosopumilales; Nitrosopumilaceae
Description: bacterial SSU rRNA
Rfam family: Archaeal small subunit ribosomal RNA
Source: RNAcentral
ACUUUGCAAUGUGCGAAAGCACGACAAGGUUAAUCCGAGUGGUUUCUGCUAAAGGAACCUUUUGUCAGUCCUAGAAACACUGGUGAAUAAGGGGUGGGCAAGUUCUGGUGUCAGCCGCCGCGGUAAAACCAGCACCUCAAGUGGUCAGGAUGAUUAUUGGGCCUAAAGCAUCCGUAGCCUGCUUUGUUAGUUUUCGGUUAAAUCCAUACGCUUAACGUAUGGGCUGCCGGGAAUACUGCAAAGCUAGGGAGUGGGAGAGGUAGACGGUACUCGGUAGGAAGGGGUAAAAUCCUUUGAUCUAUUGAUGACCACCUGUGGCGAAGGCGGUCUACCAGAACAC